RNAcentral lists this ribosomal RNA (2559 nucleotides) under Escherichia coli. Its description in RNAcentral is "partial 23S ribosomal RNA". It matches the Rfam family "Bacterial large subunit ribosomal RNA", at positions 398 to 2925 of the family's 2925-position model. Lineage: Bacteria; Pseudomonadati; Pseudomonadota; Gammaproteobacteria; Enterobacterales; Enterobacteriaceae. The record is from RNAcentral.
UGUGAGCUCGAUGAGUAGGGCGGGACACGUGGUAUCCUGUCUGAAUAUGGGGGGACCAUCCUCCAAGGCUAAAUACUCCUGACUGACCGAUAGUGAACCAGUACCGUGAGGGAAAGGCGAAAAGAACCCCGGCGAGGGGAGUGAAAAAGAACCUGAAACCGUGUACGUACAAGCAGUGGGAGCACGCUUAGGCGUGUGACUGCGUACCUUUUGUAUAAUGGGUCAGCGACUUAUAUUCUGUAGCAAGGUUAACCGAAUAGGGGAGCCGAAGGGAAACCGAGUCUUAACUGGGCGUUAAGUUGCAGGGUAUAGACCCGAAACCCGGUGAUCUAGCCAUGGGCAGGUUGAAGGUUGGGUAACACUAACUGGAGGACCGAACCGACUAAUGUUGAAAAAUUAGCGGAUGACUUGUGGCUGGGGGUGAAAGGCCAAUCAAACCGGGAGAUAGCUGGUUCUCCCCGAAAGCUAUUUAGGUAGCGCCUCGUGAAUUCAUCUCCGGGGGUAGAGCACUGUUUCGGCAAGGGGGUCAUCCCGACUUACCAACCCGAUGCAAACUGCGAAUACCGGAGAAUGUUAUCACGGGAGACACACGGCGGGUGCUAACGUCCGUCGUGAAGAGGGAAACAACCCAGACCGCCAGCUAAGGUCCCAAAGUCAUGGUUAAGUGGGAAACGAUGUGGGAAGGCCCAGACAGCCAGGAUGUUGGCUUAGAAGCAGCCAUCAUUUAAAGAAAGCGUAAUAGCUCACUGGUCGAGUCGGCCUGCGCGGAAGAUGUAACGGGGCUAAACCAUGCACCGAAGCUGCGGCAGCGACGCUGAUGCGUUGUUGGGUAGGGGAGCGUUCUGUAAGCCUGCGAAGGUGUGCUGUGAGGCAUGCUGGAGGUAUCAGAAGUGCGAAUGCUGACAUAAGUAACGAUAAAGCGGGUGAAAAGCCCGCUCGCCGGAAGACCAAGGGUUCCUGUCCAACGUUAAUCGGGGCAGGGUGAGUCGACCCCUAAGGCGAGGCCGAAAGGCGUAGUCGAUGGGAAACAGGUUAAUAUUCCUGUACUUGGUGUUACUGCGAAGGGGGGACGGAGAAGGCUAUGUUGGCCGGGCGACGGUUGUCCCGGUUUAAGCGUGUAGGCUGGUUUUCCAGGCAAAUCCGGAAAAUCAAGGCUGAGGCGUGAUGACGAGGCACUACGGUGCUGAAGCAACAAAUGCCCUGCUUCCAGGAAAAGCCUCUAAGCAUCAGGUAACAUCAAAUCGUACCCCAAACCGACACAGGUGGUCAGGUAGAGAAUACCAAGGCGCUUGAGAGAACUCGGGUGAAGGAACUAGGCAAAAUGGUGCCGUAACUUCGGGAGAAGGCACGCUGAUAUGUAGGUGAAGUCCCUUGCGGAUGGAGCUGAAAUCAGUCGAAGAUACCAGCUGGCUGCAACUGUUUAUUAAAAACACAGCACUGUGCAAACACGAAAGUGGACGUAUACGGUGUGACGCCUGCCCGGUGCCGGAAGGUUAAUUGAUGGGGUCAGCGCAAGCGAAGCUCUUGAUCGAAGCCCCGGUAAACGGCGGCCGUAACUAUAACGGUCCUAAGGUAGCGAAAUUCCUUGUCGGGUAAGUUCCGACCUGCACGAAUGGCGUAAUGAUGGCCAGGCUGUCUCCACCCGAGACUCAGUGAAAUUGAACUCGCUGUGAAGAUGCAGUGUACCCGCGGCAAGACGGAAAGACCCCGUGAACCUUUACUAUAGCUUGACACUGAACAUUGAGCCUUGAUGUGUAGGAUAGGUGGGAGGCUUGGAAGUGUGGACGCCAGUCUGCAUGGAGCCGACCUUGAAAUACCACCCUUUAAUGUUUGAUGUUCUAACGUUGACCCGUAAUCCGGGUUGCGGACAGUGUCUGGUGGGUAGUUUGACUGGGGCGGUCUCCUCCUAAAGAGUAACGGAGGAGCACGAAGGUUGGCUAAUCCUGGUCGGACAUCAGGAGGUUAGUGCAAUGGCAUAAGCCAGCUUGACUGCGAGCGUGACGGCGCGAGCAGGUGCGAAAGCAGGUCAUAGUGAUCCGGUGGUUCUGAAUGGAAGGGCCAUCGCUCAACGGAUAAAAGGUACUCCGGGGAUAACAGGCUGAUACCGCCCAAGAGUUCAUAUCGACGGCGGUGUUUGGCACCUCGAUGUCGGCUCAUCACAUCCUGGGGCUGAAGUAGGUCCCAAGGGUAUGGCUGUUCGCCAUUUAAAGUGGUACGCGAGCUGGGUUUAGAACGUCGUGAGACAGUUCGGUCCCUAUCUGCCGUGGGCGCUGGAGAACUGAGGGGGGCUGCUCCUAGUACGAGAGGACCGGAGUGGACGCAUCACUGGUGUUCGGGUUGUCAUGCCAAUGGCACUGCCCGGUAGCUAAAUGCGGAAGAGAUAAGUGCUGAAAGCAUCUAAGCACGAAACUUGCCCCGAGAUGAGUUCUCCCUGACUCCUUGAGAGUCCUGAAGGAACGUUGAAGACGACGACGUUGAUAGGCCGGGUGUGUAAGCGCAGCGAUGCGUUGAGCUAACCGGUACUAAUGAACCGUGAGGCUUAACCUUACAACGCCGAAG